Molecule: ribosomal RNA, 502 nt
Filed under: uncultured bacterium
Lineage: Bacteria
Description: partial 16S ribosomal RNA
Rfam family: Bacterial small subunit ribosomal RNA
Source: RNAcentral
AUUGAACGCUGGCGGCAGGCUUAACACAUGCAAGUCGAGCGGGGUGAUGGUGCUUGCACUAUCACUUAGCGGCGGACGGGUGAGUAAUGCUUAGGAAUCUGCCUAUUAGUGGGGGACAACAUCUCGAAAGGGAUGCUAAUACCGCAUACGUCCUACGGGAGAAAGCAGGGGAUCACUUGUGACCUUGCGCUAAUAGAUGAGCCUAAGUCGGAUAGCUAGUUGGUGGGGUAAAGGCCUACCAAGGCGACGAUCUGUAGCGGGUCUGAGAGGGUGAUCCGCCACACUGGGACUGAGACACGGCCCAGACUCCUACGGGAGGCAGCAGUGGGGAAUAUUGGACAAUGGGGGGAACCCUGAUCCAGCCAUGCCGCGUGUGUGAAGAAGGCCUUGUGGUUGUAAAGCACUUUAAGCGAGGAGGAGGCUCUUUUGGUUAAUACCCAAGAUGAGUGGACGUUACUCGCAGAAUAAGCACCGGCUAACUCUGUGCCAGCAGCCGCCGUAA